This 135-nucleotide unclassified non-coding RNA is filed under the name Clostridioides difficile. The record is from RNAcentral. RNAcentral also lists the same sequence under 11 other names. Lineage: Bacteria; Bacillati; Bacillota; Clostridia; Peptostreptococcales; Peptostreptococcaceae.
UAUAUUUUAUAUAAAAUCAAUUGUUUAAAUAUAUAUUAUUUAUACUGUAAAUUUAUAGAUAAUAAAGUAUAAAAAAAAUAUAUUUUGAUGAAAUUUAAAAAAAUACAUUAUAUAAAUAUAGUAAUAGUAUGAAAA